AACGCACCUUGCACUCCUUGGUAUUCCGAGGAGUAUGCCUGUUUGAGUGUCAUGAAAUUCUCAACUGCCUUUUUAGCAUUUAUGUUAAGGGUGAAGUUGGAGUUGGAGGAUAAUUGCUGGCGCACAACUUAGGUUGUUUGUUAGCUCCUCCUAAAUGGAUGAGCUUUUCUGAUAGAUUAUGGCUCAGUAACACUAAUGUGAUAAUUAUCUACAUUAAAUGUGAAAGCUAUGAGUAGAGUAACUUCAAUUGUGGAGAAGCUCCUAUAGAAAAGGGUAUGUCUUGGGGAUAAAUAAACCCUUGACUUGAAAUAUAAUGACAAAUCUGACCUCAAAUCAGGUAGGACUACCCGCUGAACUUAA
RNAcentral lists this unclassified non-coding RNA (360 nucleotides) under uncultured Pseudotomentella. Its description in RNAcentral is "sequence contains ITS2". The stretch from base 1 to 52 matches the Rfam family "5.8S ribosomal RNA", at positions 103 to 154 of the family's 154-position model. Lineage: Eukaryota; Fungi; Basidiomycota; Agaricomycetes; Thelephorales; Thelephoraceae. The record is from RNAcentral.